GUAGGAGGCAAGCGUUAUCCGGAUUCACUGGGCGUAAAGCGCGUGCAGGCGGUUCGGUAAGUUGGGCGUGAAAUCUCCUGGCUUAACUGGGAGAGGCCGUCCAAUACUACCGGACUAGAGAGCAGUAGAGGAAGAUGGAAUUCCCGGUGUAGUGGUGAAAUGCGUAGAUAUCGGGAGGAACACCAGUGGCGAAGGCGAUCUUCUGGACUGUUUCUGACGCUCAGACGCGAAAGCUAGGGUAGUAAACGGGAUUAGAGACCCCGGUAAUCCUAGCCGUAAACGAUGUGAACUUGGCGUCGGUAGCUUAAACACUAUCGGUGCCGCAGCCAACGCGAUAAGUUCACCGCCUGGGGACUACGAUUGCAAGAUUAAA
RNAcentral lists this ribosomal RNA (373 nucleotides) under uncultured bacterium. Its description in RNAcentral is "bacterial SSU rRNA". It matches the Rfam family "Bacterial small subunit ribosomal RNA", at positions 527 to 898 of the family's 1533-position model. The record is from RNAcentral.